RNAcentral lists this ribosomal RNA (253 nucleotides) under uncultured bacterium. RNAcentral's name for it is "partial 16S ribosomal RNA". It matches the Rfam family "Bacterial small subunit ribosomal RNA", at positions 524 to 776 of the family's 1533-position model. The record is from RNAcentral.
UACGAGUGCGUCGAGCGUUAUCCGGAAUCAUUGGGCGUAAAGGGUGCGUAGGCGGCGCGGUAAGUCGGGUGUGAAAUCUCGGAGCUUAACUCCGAAACUGCAUUCGAUACUGCCGUGCUUGAGGACUGGAGAGGAGACUGGAAUUUACGGUGUAGCGGUGAAAUGCGUAGAUAUCGUAAGGAAGACCAGUGGCGAAGGCGGGUCUCUGGACAGUUCCUGACGCUGAGGCACGAAGGUCAGGGGAGCAAACGGG